GAUUAGCUCAGCUGGGAGAGCAUCUGCCUUACAAGCAGAGGGUCGGCGGUUCGAUCCCGUCAUC
Molecule: transfer RNA, 64 nt
Filed under: Pseudomonas fragi
Lineage: Bacteria; Pseudomonadati; Pseudomonadota; Gammaproteobacteria; Pseudomonadales; Pseudomonadaceae
Description: tRNA-Val
Rfam family: tRNA
About the family: Transfer RNA (tRNA) molecules are approximately 80 nucleotides in length. Their secondary structure includes four short double-helical elements and three loops (D, anti-codon, and T loops).
Source: RNAcentral